GAUGAACGCUGGCGGCGUGCCUAAUACAUGCAAGUCGAGCGAACGGACGAGAAGCUUGCUGCUCUGAUGUUAGCGGCGGACGGGUGAGUAACACGUGGAUAACCUACCUAUCAGACUGGGAUAACUUCGAGACACCGGAGCUAAUACCGGAUAAUAUUUUGAACCGCAUGGUUCAAAAGUGAAUGACGGUCUUGCUGUCACUUAUAGAUCGAACCGGGCUGCAUUAGCUAGUUGGUAAGGUAACGGCUUACCAAGGCAACGAGGCAUAGCCGACCAGAGAGGGGGAUCGGCGACACUGGAACUGAGAGACGGGCCAGACUCCGACGGGAGGCAGCAGUAGGGAAUCUUCCGCGAUGGGCGAAAGCCUGACGGAGCAACGCCGCGUGAGUGAUGAAGGUCUUCGGAUCGUAAAACUCUGUUAUUAGGGAAGAACAUAUGUGUAAGUAACUGUGCACAUCUUGACGGUACCUAAUCAGAAAGCCACGGCUAACUACGUG
This 497-nucleotide ribosomal RNA is filed under the name uncultured bacterium. RNAcentral describes it as "partial 16S ribosomal RNA". It matches the Rfam family "Bacterial small subunit ribosomal RNA", at positions 28 to 507 of the family's 1533-position model. The record is from RNAcentral.